Molecule: long non-coding RNA, 1265 nt
Organism: Micropterus dolomieu (smallmouth bass)
Lineage: Eukaryota; Metazoa; Chordata; Actinopteri; Centrarchiformes; Centrarchidae
Exons: 3
Source: RefSeq, a predicted model, not a curated record
UCCCAAUCAUUUAUUUUGAAGGUAAAGCGGAAACGACCGUCGGCGUACUGACGUCAGCGUGACAGAUUUAUUUGAAGGUUCGUGUGCGUCAUAGAGCGACGACAGGAGCGUGUUCCAACUAUCGCAGUGAAGUAGGUCGAUCCUCCACCGAGUGCUGAUCAAGGUUCGAGUGUCAGGACAGAUAGAAGAGUCACUACUCAUUGUUUGGGACAAAGUACUACUGCUGCUACCCCUCAUCCUACAGAAGGUAACAUCUCACCCUCAGUUUGCUGUGAUCGACCACCAGCGGCGGCGUUUCCUCGUCGAGGAUCUCCACAGAUCUGCCUCUGUUGAACAGCUGCAUCUGCUCCAAGGCGGCCUCGCCGGCUCUCGCCUCGUCCAUGCUACACUUUUCUGAGGAGGACAGGAGGCGCACAUGGUUUAUUCUUCUUCUGACUCCCCACAGGGUUCGCACAGUUUAUUGAAAGUCAAAUUCUUUAAAGGGUGGAGCCUCGGCCGCCUGGUCCAGAAUGAGGUCCUGGAAGAAGUCUGUCCUCUCCUGCCGGGUGGGAACACUGAUGGUGUAAACCUCCCCGUAAUCUUCCCGGAACAGAAACUGAAUCUGAGGAUAGAAACAGAAGUCCGAGCUCUUCCAUAAUGGUUUUCCUUCCAGUUGGUUCUUUCUAAAAGGCUAAAAGCGUUUGGCUUCCUGUGGACAAAACUGCUAAAAACCACGAUCUGAUGCAAUAAAUGUGAGAGGGAAAAGGUUUCAGACACAUUUCUGACCCAGGGUUCAGUCCAGCUACUCACCUCAGGGUCCAGCUGUUGACGGGGGACGCUGCAGGUGGCGAGGAGGAGGAUGGGGGUGAAGGAGGGGAUGCUGCCUAGCAGGCUGAGGAAGGAGGCCCUCAAUGCGGGCCCUGCUGUCUCCCACCACUGCUGGAUGUGGGGGAUGUAGAGGAUGCUGGGAGACGUCCGCUUGGCCUCGCAGAACACCUGGGGGGGGGCAGAGAACAAUGUUUUAUGUUCUGCAGCGUUGGUUUGUGUGAUUCAAAGACUGCAACAUACUGUUUAAGAAUGAAACUAAUUAGAACUAAUUACAUCUAAAAAUACUCUGCAGUUGCCUGUCAUCACCACCAGAUGUCCCUAAAGGACAACAGUGAGAGAUGUUCAAGGAGGCGAAACCUGGAGCUAAUUUUAAAUGUGAGCUGACUGCAUGUCUUCACUAUUGUGCAACGUAACUUGUUCAACUCACCACUACAUACUAAAUUAACAAAAAGACACAC